This 253-nucleotide ribosomal RNA is filed under the name uncultured bacterium. RNAcentral describes it as "partial 16S ribosomal RNA". It matches the Rfam family "Bacterial small subunit ribosomal RNA", at positions 524 to 776 of the family's 1533-position model. The record is from RNAcentral.
UACGAGGGGGGCAAAUGUUGUUCGGCAUCACUGGGCGUAAAGGGAGCGUCGGCGGGUUCUUAAGUUAGGUGUUUAAUCCCGGGGCCCAACCCCGGACCGGCACUUAAAACUGGGAAUCUUGAAUAGUGGAGAGGUCGGUGGAAUUGGAGGUGUAGCGGUGGAAUGCGUAGAGAUCUCCAAGAACACCAGUUGCGAAGGCGGCCGACUGGACACAUAUUGACGCUGAGGCUCGAAAGCAUGGGGAGCAAACAGG